GUUGCUAUGCCAGCACAAAAAAAAUUUUAAAUAAAACAGAUAUUAGUAUGGUUCCUGCCUAAGGACAACAUGAAAAUUUGUGAAGGAUUCUCUAUCAUU
Molecule: small nuclear RNA, 99 nt
Filed under: Ictidomys tridecemlineatus (thirteen-lined ground squirrel)
Lineage: Eukaryota; Metazoa; Chordata; Mammalia; Rodentia; Sciuridae
Source: RNAcentral